UUGCUCUUUUUUCUUUUAAAAAUGUAUUUAGCUUUAUGAAAAAUCUACUGCAAAGUUAUAAUGGCGGAUUCAAGGUUCUGAUAGGUUAUUGCAACUUCUCUUGUUUCUCCAGAGUGUUCUUCAGGAAAUAUUCAAGAAAAACCAGUUUGCCAUGGUAUGACUUUUGCGUACCUCUCAGCGGAAUAGACUACAUUCUAUUGCUAUGAAACUGCUAUAUGAGACCUUUUACAUGUUUUUACAUUGUUUAAAGUUGUUUUUGAAUUUUCCUUGUUGCUGUUUUUUAGUUAUAACAAUUUAGAUUCAGCCAUUUUGCUAAGAUGCCAUUGAUUGCUGCCAUUAA
Molecule: long non-coding RNA, 340 nt
Organism: Amphimedon queenslandica
Lineage: Eukaryota; Metazoa; Porifera; Demospongiae; Haplosclerida; Niphatidae
Exons: 2
Source: RefSeq, a predicted model, not a curated record